Molecule: ribosomal RNA, 449 nt
Filed under: uncultured bacterium
Lineage: Bacteria
Description: SSU rRNA
Rfam family: Bacterial small subunit ribosomal RNA
Source: RNAcentral
AGAGCGAACGCUGGCGGCAGGCUUAACACAUGCAAGUCGAGCGGGCGUAGCAAUACGUCAGCGGCAGACGGGUGAGUAACGCGUGGGAACAUACCUUUUGGUUCGGAACAACCCAGGGAAACUUGGGCUAAUACCGGAUAAGCCCUUACGGGGAAAGAUUUAUCGCCGAAAGAUUGGCCCGCGUCUGAUUAGCUAGUUGGUGAGGUAACGGCUCACCAAGGCGACGAUCAGUAGCUGGUCUGAGAGGAUGAUCAGCCACAUUGGGACUGAGACACGGCCCAAACUCCUACGGGAGGCAGCAGUGGGGAAUAUUGGACAAUGGGCGCAAGCCUGAUCCAGCCAUGCCGCGUGAGUGAUGAAGGCCCUAGGGUUGUAAAGCUUCUUUUGUGGCGGGAAGAUAAUGACGGUACCGCAAGAAUAAGCCCGGCUAACUUCGCGCCAGCAGCCGC